RNAcentral lists this ribosomal RNA (497 nucleotides) under uncultured bacterium. Its description in RNAcentral is "partial 16S ribosomal RNA". It matches the Rfam family "Bacterial small subunit ribosomal RNA", at positions 28 to 507 of the family's 1533-position model. The record is from RNAcentral.
GAUGAACGCUGGCGGCGUGCCUAAUACAUGCAAGUCGAGCGAACAGAUGAGGAGCUUGCUCCUCUGACGUUAGCGGCGGACGGGUGAGUAACACGUGGAUAACCUACCUAUAAGACUGGGAUAACUUCGGGAAACCGGCGCAAAUACCGGAUAAUAUAUUGAACCGCAUGGUUCAAUGGUGAAAGACGGUUUUGCUGUCACUUAUAGAUGGAUCCCAGCCGCAUUAGCUGGUUGGUAAGGUAACGGCUUACCAAGGCAACGAUGCGUAGCCGACCGGAGAGGGUGAUCGGCCACACUGGAACUGAGACACGGUCCAGACUCCUACGGGAGGCAGCAGUAGGGAAUCUUCCGCAAUGGGCGAAAGCCUGACGGAGCAACGCCGCGUGAGUGAUGAAGGUCUUCGGAUCGUAAAACUCUGUUAUUAGGGAAGAACAAAUGUGUAAGUAACUAUGCACGUCUUGACGGUACCUAAUCAGAAAGCCACGGCUAACUACGUG